RNAcentral lists this ribosomal RNA (540 nucleotides) under uncultured eukaryote. RNAcentral's name for it is "SSU rRNA". It matches the Rfam family "Eukaryotic small subunit ribosomal RNA", at positions 202 to 746 of the family's 1831-position model. The record is from RNAcentral.
UGUAUUUAUUAGAUAAAAAACCAAUGCCCUUCGGGGCUUUUUGGUGAUUCAUGAUAACUUUACGGAUCGCAUAGCCUUGCGCUGGCGACGGUUCAUUCAAAUUUCUGCCCUAUCAACUUUCGAUGGUAAGGUAUUGGCUUACCAUGGUUUCAACGGGUAACGGGGAAUUAGGGUUCGAUUCCGGAGAGGGAGCCUGAGAAACGGCUACCACAUCCAAGGAAGGCAGCAGGCGCGCAAAUUACCCAAUCCCGACACGGGGAGGUAGUGACAAUAAAUACUGAUACAGGGCCCUUUUGGGUCUUGUAAUUGGAAUGAGUACAAUUUAAACCUCUUAACGAGGAACAAUUGGAGGGCAAGUCUGGUGCCAGCAGCCGCGGUAAUUCCAGCUCCAAUAGCGUAUAUUAAAGUUGUUGCAGUUAAAAAGCUCGUAGUUGAAACUUGGGCCUGGCUGGCGGGUCCGCCUCACCGCGUGCACUCGUCCGGCCGGGCCUUCCUUCUGAAGAACCUCAUGCCCUUCACUGGGCGUGCUGGGGAACCAGG